CGGGCCCUACGGGGCGCAGCAGUAGGGAAUCUUCCACAAUGGGCGAAAGCCUGAUGGAGCAACGCCGCGUGGGUGAAGAAGGUCUUCGGAUCGUAAACCCCUGUUGUUAGAGAAGAAAGUGCGUGAGAGUAACUGUUCACGUUUCGACGGUAUCUAACCAGAAAGCCACGGCUAACUACGUGCCAGCAGCCGCGGUAAUACGUAGGUGGCAAGCGUUACCCGGAUUUAUUGGGCGUAAAGGGAACGCAGGCGGUCUUUUAAGUCUGAUGUGAAAGCCUUCGGCUUAACCGGUGUAGUGCCUUGGA
RNAcentral lists this ribosomal RNA (305 nucleotides) under uncultured bacterium. RNAcentral describes it as "bacterial SSU rRNA". It matches the Rfam family "Bacterial small subunit ribosomal RNA", at positions 333 to 630 of the family's 1533-position model. The record is from RNAcentral.